RNAcentral lists this ribosomal RNA (394 nucleotides) under uncultured organism. RNAcentral describes it as "bacterial SSU rRNA". It matches the Rfam family "Bacterial small subunit ribosomal RNA", at positions 45 to 433 of the family's 1533-position model. The record is from RNAcentral.
UGCUUAACACAUGCAAGUCGAACGGCAGCGCGUGUAUGGGUAACUAUACAUGGCGGCGAGUGGCAAACGGGUGAGUAAUGCGUAGGAAUCUGCCGAAAGGGGGGGGAUAACUUGGGGAAACUCAAGCUAAUACCGCGUAAUAUUGAGAAAUCAAAGCUGGGGACCGCAAGGCCUGGCGCCUUUUGAUGAGCCUACGUUAGAUUAGUUAGUUGGUAGGGUAAAAGCCUACCAAGGCAAAGAUCUAUAGCUGGUCUGAGAGGACGAUCAGCCACACUGGGACUGAGACACGGCCCAGACUCCUACGGGAGGCAGCAGUGGGGAAUAUUGGACAAUGGGCUAACGCCUGAUCCAGCAAUGCCGCGUGUGUGAAGAAGGCCUGCGGGUUGUAAAGCUC